This 197-nucleotide unclassified non-coding RNA is filed under the name soil metagenome. RNAcentral's name for it is "partial contains 5.8S ribosomal RNA, internal transcribed spacer 2, and large subunit ribosomal RNA". The record is from RNAcentral.
AACGCACGAGACCUGCGGACCUGCGGAAGGAUCAUUACUGAGUUUACGCUCAAACCCUUGUGAAUUUACCGUGUUGCUUCGGCAGGUCUUCCCUGGGAGGGAAUUCGACCGCAAGGUGACCUGCCAGAGGCUCUAAACUCUGGUUUAGUGGUUUUCUGAGAAUCUUUAAAAGUAAAAACUUUCAACAAUGGAUCUCU